Triticum dicoccoides is the source of this 764-nucleotide long non-coding RNA. RefSeq lists it as uncharacterized. NCBI's taxonomy places the organism in Eukaryota, Viridiplantae, Streptophyta, Magnoliopsida, Poales, Poaceae. The record is from RefSeq and is a predicted model, not a curated record. The transcript has 2 exons.
AUCACUAUCGCUGCCUCUUCCUUCUUCCGUUCCCAGCGGCGCUCGCCCUUCCUCCUGCCAUCUGUGACCCGAACCCGCUGUGGCGCGCCCUUCACAGGAGGAGCCAGAGCCCAUCUAGAUGUAGUAGCCCAACCCAAUACAUGACGAGGUGCUUCAUGGAGCAAAGUGACGGGAGCGAUCGAUCUAGAUCAAUCGAUUUGGUCGUUCCCCAAUUCCCCACUGCUGCCAAUCCCUAGCGCCACCGCCGGACGCCUCCUCCAAUCAUGUGUAUCUCCUGCACCUCCUGCCGCCGGUGUUAAUCAUCUACAUACCUGGGCAUGUUCACCGCCGUUCUGGACUGAGCGUCGUCGUUGUUCCACAGGAGGCGAUGGAAGGGUGGGAGGAUGUUGCAUGGACGGAAGAUAUAUUCCCCAUGCCAUCUGACGCAGGAGAAGUGAUGGACCUAGAAAACCUGGUGAACACCCUCUCCCAGAUGCCCGACGAGACCCCAUGGUGCUCGAUGGUGAGCCGGACAAAUUCAGCGGUGGUGCCGACUGCCAAGGAUGCACGAGAGGUACACCAGUGAGGUUGUUGGACCAGAACGAUGGUAGCAGCUCAGCGGGCUUUUCUGGCUACAAGAGGAGGUAAUCCAAAGAAAUAUAUGUCCCAGCCGAUUUCUUUUUUCCCUUAUCUUGUACUGAUCAUCUAUGUACGUGUACAUAAAACUGAACCGAUGUAUGUAAGGACACUUCUUGUCGGUGUUAAUCGGUACUACUUUUCUUUCA